UGAUAGAUACUGAGUCCUUUGU
Molecule: unclassified non-coding RNA, 22 nt
Filed under: Mus musculus (house mouse)
Lineage: Eukaryota; Metazoa; Chordata; Mammalia; Rodentia; Muridae
Description: oocyte_clustered_small_RNA3915
Source: RNAcentral